UAUAACUCAAAUGGAGGAGGGGAGCUGGUGUGAGAGAAAGAGACAAAUGGGGAGAAUGUCUUCAUGCACCGCAUGAGGGAAGGAUUGGUGAAAGAGCACCAGGAAGAGGAUUAAAUCUCCAAACCCUUGGUGGGGGAGAUCCAAAUGGAUGAGGCCUCCUUAGGAGUGUGACAAAGAAGGAUGGAUUUUGGGGAUUGUGGAUAGAAAUGGACAAAGAGAUCUUAAACUCAGACUAAUGACGGGGGCUUGCAGGACAGAGGAGGGUCAGGUAUUUCCUCAAAUAGCCCAGUGUGGCUGCAGAGGGAAUCCGCAGCCCCACGGAGCAGGAAUGUGUGCACCUGGUCUCCUGCAAGAGCACCAGCAUACAGGCCAAACACUGCGCCGUGCUUUUGGAUUCACAACAGAAUAUUGCCAAAAAUAAACCUGUAAAAACUAUAAACAAAUAAGAAUUCUGUGUGAAUUCACUGCUGCCUUUCUAGGAGCAGGGAGAUGGACAGAUGGGACAACAUGCAGAGUCUAUUUGCAGGAAGCUCACAGCUCUGUCAACACCAAGAGCUGAGCACACAUUCCUCAUAUCAUCACCGCCGGCUUUUAUUUUGGUAUGGCAUACACCGAGAGAGCUCUGAUC
Molecule: long non-coding RNA, 628 nt
Organism: Nothobranchius furzeri (turquoise killifish)
Lineage: Eukaryota; Metazoa; Chordata; Actinopteri; Cyprinodontiformes; Nothobranchiidae
Source: RefSeq, a predicted model, not a curated record